GUAGACACCUGCAUCUUUGUAACUCUUCUCCGUUCAUCUUUCCUGCAGAAGCUGAAACUGCCCAGUGGAUUCUGUACAGCUGCUGUACUUUCCACUAAAAGUCCACUGAAAUGCCCCUCACCCUUUCUCAUAUUUUAACCACAUGGAAACUUACACAGGGACUUUCUGUAUGGUUUAGAACCACUGAGGCCUCUUGGAAGGAUCUUUUAAACUUGGAGAAGUAAUUUAAGAUACUACAGAUUUUCGUUAACUUGGUGAGCUGGCUUUGUCUCCAAGCAUGACUUCUGAGUACAGUGGGUGAGGGGCUUCAGGCAGUCAGCUCCUGACUCUCCUGGGGAGGAAGGGGCAUUGCUGGAACUGGGCUUCAGUGGUCAGCGGCCCAGCGGGGAAGAACGCUCCUUGCCCACCUCUCUGCCUUUGUCCCACCAGGAUGCAUUGGGGCUGAGGGCCGGGGCUGCCCCCUGGAAAUUGCUUAUAGAGCUCAGGAAAUGAGGUUCCUGGACUCUGGGAACCUUGUACCCAUUCAGAUGCACCGCAUGUAAAAAGAAAGAAAACCACUAAAGCUCCUGGCACUAGACGACUGCUGGCAGCCUGCCUCCCAGGUCAUCUUGACAUGCUGGCUGAGAACUGCCGUGCCUUCAGCUGACUAUAGUCCUGAAGCCAGACAGAGUUGAGAAAGAAAAUAUUAACCGGAAAUAGGAAAGUCAUUGUAAAUUUUACCACUAAGAGUGGUUUCAAAAUCCAAAACGUCUUAUGUUUCAAACCUCCUGAUUAGUUUACAUU
Molecule: long non-coding RNA, 783 nt
Filed under: Bos taurus (domestic cattle)
Lineage: Eukaryota; Metazoa; Chordata; Mammalia; Artiodactyla; Bovidae
Description: long non-coding RNA NONBTAT025966
Source: RNAcentral